UACGUAAGAGGGAGAGCAAUGGGGACGGGCAGGGACAGAGCUGCGGGCUGAGGUUCCUCCGUUCGGCGAAGCCCCUUCUCUCUGCCCCCGCCUGCUCUGGGCUUUCUUGGCUAUGUCUGCUCCUGACAGGAGGGAUGUGUGUUGCCAGGGGUGGGGGCUUGGCGUGUGUGCGUGUGAGAAUAUGUGUGUGUGUUUAAAAUACAAAAAAAAAAAAAAAAGAAGCGUGCCUAUACUCAGCCGCGAGACGCUGGCCAGCCUCCAUCCGUGCCAACUCCCCUCCGAGCUGGCACUGGGGACUCCGGAGGCACGGGGAGGAGGAAGGUGCGGGCAGCUUGCGGUGAGGAUGGACGCGUGCCACCGACGUAUGCCAGCGGCUGCAGGGGGCCAAACGCCUAUCCACAAAACCCACCGCGAUCGCUGGCAGCCGUGGCGGGAGGCGGCAGCAGUUGGCAGAGGUGCCAGGGAGGGCCGGCUGGGGCAGGUGGAUCCUGGCAGCAGCAGCGCAGGGGUCACGCUCCAGGCCUUUCUCCAAGCCCUCCCCGCGCUGGGACGCAUUUACCCGCCUGCCUGUUGACUUCGGCUGGCACCCACUCCUGGGCUGCUCAGAGCUGCUGCUCCCUGUUGAUGAGCACUGUUCUGAGCUUCUGCUUCUCCUCUGUGGGUACGAGGGCCGCUCUGGCAUUAUGUCUUCUAGACCUGCGCCUCCUUCAGACGUCAGGGCCGUGCACUCAGACACCUCCAGUGAAAGCUUUUGGGGUUUGGAUGGAUGGACAGAUGGACAAAUUAACAGCAUUCUGCACUUGGAAUGACAAAACUUUAGGCAAGAAAAGGGUCAUUGGAGAAUAUCUAGUCCAACACUCUAAUGGGAUAGAGAGGGAAACUGAGGCCAGCAGAAAGCAUGUCACCUGACCCAGUCACAGCCCUUGGAUACAGAGGGAAACUGAGGCCAGCAGAAAGGAUGUCACUGGACCCAGUCAGCCCUUGGAUAGAGAGGGAAACUGAGGCCAGCAGAAAGUGUGUCACCAGACCCAGUCAGCCCUUGGAUAGAGAGGGAAACUAACGCCAGCACAAAGGAUGUCACCGGACCCAGUCAGCCCUUGGCCUAGGACCUGCAGACAGGCCACCUGCUGCUUCUGUGACCCCCACAGCCCAGACUCACACAUCUUCCUCCAGGUCAGGGAGUGAAGGGGUCUGCAGUCCUCUCCAACUGAGGGCAGGGACAGUCUCUACGUCCUGAGACCCCAGGCCCCUGACCUACCUGCCGGCCUGCCUGGCAAGGGCACACCUAUCAGGUUGCACCAUAAGGCCACCGGGCUGGGUCUGACUCACCCACAAUCCAUCAGCCUGCUGGUCUUUACACAUUCUGGGAGAGGCAAGAAUCUCUGUAGUUGCUAAAACACUUCCUCUUGGUUAUUCUGAGAACUAAAAACACACAUUAUUUGAAAGUCUUGGGUUUAGUCUAAUCUAAACCCCUCAGGUCGUGACUUAAGCUCUGGCCUCAGAGGUCUCCAUUUAUGCUUGGAUGAGCCACUCCUUUGGUCUUUGUCCCCUCACUGGAAGGCAUGUCCAUGAGGAAAUGGGGAGAAGAAUAUAGAGCUAUGAACUUGGAAUUUUGGUGUCAGAAGGACCUAGGUUCAAGUUCAGGCUCUAUCACUAGCUAGGGACCUCACUUUCUUCAUCUGUAGACUGACGAUAAUAAUAGUACAUACCUCAAAAGAGCUGUGCAGAUUCAAAGUGA
Molecule: long non-coding RNA, 1738 nt
Organism: Homo sapiens (human)
Lineage: Eukaryota; Metazoa; Chordata; Mammalia; Primates; Hominidae
Source: Ensembl